AGAGUUUGAUCCUGGCUCAGGAUGAACGCUAGCUACAGGCUUAACACAUGCAAGUCGAGGGGCAGCAUGGUCUUAGCUUGCUAAGGCCGAUGGCGACCGGCGCACGGGUGAGUAACACGUAUCCAACCUGCCGUCUACUCUUGGACAGCCUUCUGAAAGGAAGAUUAAUACAAGAUGGCAUCAUGAGUCCGCAUGUUCACAUGAUUAAAGGUAUUCCGGUAGACGAUGGGGAUGCGUUCCAUUAGAUAGUAGGCGGGGUAACGGCCCACCUAGUCUUCGAUGGAUAGGGGUUCUGAGAGGAAGGUCCCCCACAUUGGAACUGAGACACGGUCCAAACUCCUACGGGAGGCAGCAGUGAGGAAUAUUGGUCAAUGGGCGAGAGCCUGAACCAGCCAAGUAGCGUGAAGGAUGACUGCCCUAUGGGUUGUAAACUUCUUUUAUAAAGGAAUAAAGUCGGGUAUGGAUACCCGUUUGCAUGUACUUUAUGAAUAAGGAUCGGCUAACUCCGUGCCAGCAGCCGCGGUAAUACGGAGGAUCCGAGCGUUAUCCGGAUUUAUUGGGUUUAAAGGGAGCGUAGAUGGAUGUUUAAGUCAGUUGUGAAAGUUUGCGGCUCAACCGUAAAAUUGCAGUUGAUACUGGAUAUCUUGAGUGCAGUUGAGGCAGGCGGAAUUCGUGGUGUAGCGGUGAAAUGCUUAGAUAUCACGAAGAACUCCGAUUGCGAAGGCAGCCUGCUAAGCUGCAACUGACAUUGAGGCUCGAAAGUGUGGGUAUCAAACAGGAUUAGAUACCCUGGUAGUCCACACGGUAAACGAUGAAUACUCGCUGUUUGCGAUAUACUGCAAGCGGCCAAGCGAAAGCGUUAAGUAUUCCACCUGGGGAGUACGCCGGCAACGGUGAAACUCAAAGGAAUUGACGGGGGCCCGCACAAGCGGAGGAACAUGUGGUUUAAUUCGAUGAUACGCGAGGAACCUUACCCGGGCUUAAAUUGCAGAUGAAUUACGGUGAAAGCCGUAAGCCGCAAGGCAUCUGUGAAGGUGCUGCAUGGUUGUCGUCAGCUCGUGCCGUGAGGUGUCGGCUUAAGUGCCAUAACGAGCGCAACCCUUGUUGUCAGUUACUAACAGGUCAUGCUGAGGACUCUGACAAGACUGCCAUCGUAAGAUGUGAGGAAGGUGGGGAUGACGUCAAAUCAGCACGGCCCUUACGUCCGGGGCUACACACGUGUUACAAUGGGGGGUACAGAGGGCCGCUACCACGCGAGUGGAUGCCAAUCCCCAAAACCUCUCUCAGUUCGGACUGGAGUCUGCAACCCGACUCCACGAAGCUGGAUUCGCUAGUAAUCGCGCAUCAGCCACGGCGCGGUGAAUACGUUCCCGGGCCUUGUACACACCGCCCGUCAAGCCAUGGGAGCCGGGGGUACCUGAAGUGCGUAACCGCGAGGAGCGCCCUAGGGUAAAACUGGUGACUGGGGCUAAGUCGUAACAAGGUAGCCGUACCGGAAGGUGCGGCUG
This 1508-nucleotide ribosomal RNA is filed under the name gut metagenome. Its description in RNAcentral is "bacterial SSU rRNA". It matches the Rfam family "Bacterial small subunit ribosomal RNA". The record is from RNAcentral.